AUGGAGAAAAUCCCAGUGAUUCCUCGCGUCGGUCUCGGCACCCAGGGACUGGAGGUGUCUAAGCUGGGGUUGGGGUGCAUGGGGCUGACGGGCUCGUACAACUCCCCGCUCGACGACGACGCCGGCGCCGCCAUCAUCGCGCACGCCUUCCGCCGCGGCAUCACCUUCUUCGACACCUCCGACUUCUACGGGGCCCACGCCAACGAGAUACUCCUCGGCAAGGCGCUGAAGCAGCUGCCGAGGGAGCAGGUGCAGGUGGCCACCAAGUUCGGGAUCCAGCUGCAGGCCGGGGGCACCAGCUUGUGCGGCCAGCCGGAGUAUGUCGGUGAGCUCAAGAAGCUAGUGGAGGAGGGGAAGGUCAAGUACAUCGGGUUAUCAGAGGCGAGCCCCGACACUGUCAGGCGUGCUCACGCUGUGCACCCGAUCUCUGCAGUGCAGAUGGAGUGGUCUCUCUGGGCUCGUGACAUCGAGCCCGACAUUGUGCCGCUCUGCAGAGAACUGGGGAUUGGAAUUGUUCCUUACAGCCCGAUUGGCCGCGGGUUCUUCGGCGGAAGAGGAGUCACGGAACAAGUCUCUGAUGAAUCCAAUCUGGUACCGAGACAGUCAGUUGCAGUAGUCAACUAUUUUUCACAGAAAGGGCACCCACGGUUUUCAGCAGAAAAUCUGGAGAAGAACAAGCAUCUUUAUUUGAAGAUGGAAGAACUAGCUAGGAGGCACAAGUGCAGCCAUGCUCAGCUAGCUUUAGCUUGGGUUCUGCAUCAAGGGGGUGAUGUGGUUCCCAUACCAGGAACAACCAAGAUCAAGAAUCUGGACUCCAACAUUGACUCCUUAAAGAUAAAGCUCGCGGAAGAUGACCUGAAAGAAAUUAGCAAUCAGAUACGUGAAGAAGAUGUGGCCGGUGGAAGGAGUUAUACUUCCUUUGCACAUGCCAACUGGAACCAUGCAGACACACCAAAGAAUUGA
RNAcentral lists this ribosomal RNA (963 nucleotides) under Triticum aestivum (bread wheat). Its description in RNAcentral is "partial small subunit ribosomal RNA". The record is from RNAcentral. Lineage: Eukaryota; Viridiplantae; Streptophyta; Magnoliopsida; Poales; Poaceae.